RNAcentral lists this ribosomal RNA (502 nucleotides) under anaerobic bacterium F4/B-1. RNAcentral's name for it is "bacterial SSU rRNA". It matches the Rfam family "Bacterial small subunit ribosomal RNA", at positions 38 to 509 of the family's 1533-position model. The record is from RNAcentral.
AGGCGGCGUGCCUAACACAUGCAAGUCGAACGGAGAUAUUAAUGAAGCUUGCGAUUUAAUAUCUUAGUGGCGGACGGGUGAGUAACGCGUGAGCAACCUAGCCAUAAGAGGGGGAUAACAGUUGGAAACGACUGCUAAUACCGCAUAAGCUGGCUGGUACACAUGUACCGGUUAGUAAAGAUGGCCUCUGUAUAUGCUAUCACUUAUGGAUGGGCUCGCGUCUGAUUAGCUAGUUGGUGGGGUAACGGCCUACCAAGGCGACGAUCAGUAGCCGGCCUGAGACCCUGGACGGCCACACUGGGACUGAGACACGGCCCAGACUCCUACGGGGGGCAGCAGUGGGGAAUAUUGCGCAAUGGGCCAAACCCUGACGCAGCGACGCCGCGUGAGCGAAGAAGGCCAAAGGGUUGUAAAGCUCUGUUUUCAGGAAAGAACGUCGCGGGUAAUAAUACGAUCCGCGAAAGACGGUACCUGAAGAGGAAGCCCCGGCUAACUACGUGCC